CCUACGGGAGACAGCAGUGAGGAAUAUUGGUCAAUGGACGCAAGUCUGAACCAGCCAUGCCGCGUGCAGGAAGACGGCUCUAUGAGUUGUAAACUGCUUUUGUACGAGGGUAAACGCAGAUACGCGUAUCUGUCUGAAAGUAUCGUACGAAUAAGGAUCGGCUAACUCCGUGCCAGCAGCCGCGGUAAUACGGAGGAUUCAUGCGUUAUCCGGAUUUAUUGGGUUUAAAGGGUGCGUAGGCGGUCGGAUAAGUUAGAGGUGAAAUCCCGGGGCUCAACUUCGGAAUUGCCUCUGAUACUGGUCGGCUAGAGAGUAGUUGCGGUAGGCGGAAUGUAUGGUGUAGCGGUGAAAUGCUUAGAGAUCAUACAGAACACCGAUUGCGAAGGCAGCUUACCAAGCUACUUCUGACGUUGAGGCACGAAAGCGUGGGGAGCGAACAGGAUUAGAUACCCGUGUAGUC
This 460-nucleotide ribosomal RNA is filed under the name uncultured bacterium. RNAcentral describes it as "partial 16S ribosomal RNA". It matches the Rfam family "Bacterial small subunit ribosomal RNA", at positions 338 to 795 of the family's 1533-position model. The record is from RNAcentral.